AAGCAACACCGCGUGGAGGAUGAAUGACUUUUGUUUGUAAACUCCUUUUUUGAGGGAAUAAAUAUGAAGGUACCUCAAGAAUAAGCAUCGGCUAACUACGUGCCAGCAGCCGCGGUAAGACGUAGGAUGCAAGCGUUAUCCGGAAUUAUUGGGCGUAAAGAGUUCGUAGACGAAUUGUUAAGUAGGAUGUUAAAGACCAAGGCUCAACCUUGGCAAGGCAUUCUAAACUGGCAGAAUAGAGCAAUGUAGGGGCAAGUGGAAUUCUGUAUGUAGGGGUAAUAUCCGUAGAUAUACAGAGGAACACCAAAAGCGAAGGCAGCUUGCUGGGCAUUUGCUGACGUUCAAGAACGAAAGCGUGGGGAGCAAACAGGAUUAGAUACCCUGGUAGUCCACGCCCUAAACUAUGGUCACUCGAUGUUGGAGGAUUCGACCCCUUCAGUGUCUAAGCAAACGCGAUAAGUGAUCCGCCUGGGUAGUACGAUCGCAAGAUUAAAACUCAAAGGAAUAGACGGGGACCCGCACAAGCGGUGGAGCAUCUGGUUUAAUUCGACAGUAAGCGAAGAACCUCACCAAGACUUGACAUCCCGAGAAGAUUGCCGAAAGGCGAUUGUGCCGCAAGGAACUCGGUGACAGGUGCUGCAUGGUUGUCGUCAGCUCGUGCCUUGAGGUGUUCGGUUAAGUCCGUAAACGAGCGCAACCCAUGUCAUAUGUUGGAUUUCUCAUAUGAGACUGCCGGCUUUAAGUCGGAGGAAGGUAUGGAUGACGUCAAAUCAGCAUGGCCCUUAUGUCUUGGGCCACACAGGUGCUACAAUGGGAGAUACAAAGGGCUGCUACAUAGUAAUAUGAGGCCAAUCCUAAAAGUCUCUCUUAGUUCGGAUUGAGGGCUGCAAUUCGCCCUCAUGAAGCUGGAAUCGCUAGUAAACGUGAAUCAGCCAUGUCACGUUGAAUAUGUUCCCGGGUCUUGUACUCACCGCCCGUCAAGUCAUGGAAGGUUGGAGUACCCAAAGUCCCCUUAGUUUUCGAACGGGGGCCUAAGGUAAUACAACUGACUGGGACUAAGUCGUAACAAGGUAUCCGUAGGAGAACCUG
Molecule: ribosomal RNA, 1089 nt
Filed under: uncultured cyanobacterium
Lineage: Bacteria; Bacillati; Cyanobacteriota
Description: bacterial SSU rRNA
Rfam family: Bacterial small subunit ribosomal RNA
Source: RNAcentral